This 1569-nucleotide ribosomal RNA is filed under the name Salmonella enterica. Its description in RNAcentral is "bacterial LSU rRNA". It matches the Rfam family "Bacterial large subunit ribosomal RNA", at positions 1271 to 2823 of the family's 2925-position model. The record is from RNAcentral. Lineage: Bacteria; Pseudomonadati; Pseudomonadota; Gammaproteobacteria; Enterobacterales; Enterobacteriaceae. RNAcentral also lists the same sequence under 5 other names.
UGCUGGAGGUAUCAGAAGUGCGAAUGCUGACAUAAGUAACGAUAAAGCGGGUGAAAAGCCCGCUCGCCGGAAGACCAAGGGUUCCUGUCCAACGUUAAUCGGGGCAGGGUGAGUCGACCCCUAAGGCGAGGCCGAAAGGCGUAGUCGAUGGGAAACGGGUUAAUAUUCCCGUACUUGGUGUUACUGCGAAGGGGGGACGGAGAAGGCUAUGUUGGCCGGGCGACGGUUGUCCCGGUUUAAGCGUGUAGGUGUGUGUUCCAGGUAAAUCCGGUUCACUUUAACACUGAGGCGUGACGACGAGGCACUACGGUGCUGAAGCAACAAAUGCCCUGCUUCCAGGAAAAGCCUCUAAGCAUCAGGUAACAUCAAAUCGUACCCCAAACCGACACAGGUGGUCAGGUAGAGAAUACCAAGGCGCUUGAGAGAACUCGGGUGAAGGAACUAGGCAAAAUGGUGCCGUAACUUCGGGAGAAGGCACGCUGACACGUAGGUGAAGUGAUUUACUCAUGGAGCUGAAGUCAGUCGAAGAUACCAGCUGGCUGCAACUGUUUAUUAAAAACACAGCACUGUGCAAACACGAAAGUGGACGUAUACGGUGUGACGCCUGCCCGGUGCCGGAAGGUUAAUUGAUGGGGUCAGCGCAAGCGAAGCUCCUGAUCGAAGCCCCGGUAAACGGCGGCCGUAACUAUAACGGUCCUAAGGUAGCGAAAUUCCUUGUCGGGUAAGUUCCGACCUGCACGAAUGGCGUAAUGAUGGCCAGGCUGUCUCCACCCGAGACUCAGUGAAAUUGAACUCGCUGUGAAGAUGCAGUGUACCCGCGGCAAGACGGAAAGACCCCGUGAACCUUUACUAUAGCUUGACACUGAACAUUGAGCCUUGAUGUGUAGGAUAGGUGGGAGGCUUUGAAGUGUGGACGCCAGUCUGCAUGGAGCCGACCUUGAAAUACCACCCUUUAAUGUUUGAUGUUCUAACGUGGACCCGUAAUCCGGGUUGCGGACAGUGUCUGGUGGGUAGUUUGACUGGGGCGGUCUCCUCCUAAAGAGUAACGGAGGAGCACGAAGGUUGGCUAAUCCUGGUCGGACAUCAGGAGGUUAGUGCAAUGGCAUAAGCCAGCUUGACUGCGAGCGUGACGGCGCGAGCAGGUGCGAAAGCAGGUCAUAGUGAUCCGGUGGUUCUGAAUGGAAGGGCCAUCGCUCAACGGAUAAAAGGUACUCCGGGGAUAACAGGCUGAUACCGCCCAAGAGUUCAUAUCGACGGCGGUGUUUGGCACCUCGAUGUCGGCUCAUCACAUCCUGGGGCUGAAGUAGGUCCCAAGGGUAUGGCUGUUCGCCAUUUAAAGUGGUACGCGAGCUGGGUUUAGAACGUCGUGAGACAGUUCGGUCCCUAUCUGCCGUGGGCGCUGGAGAACUGAGGGGGGCUGCUCCUAGUACGAGAGGACCGGAGUGGACGCAUCACUGGUGUUCGGGUUGUCAUGCCAAUGGCACUGCCCGGUAGCUAAAUGCGGAAGAGAUAAGUGCUGAAAGCAUCUAAGCACGAAACUUGCCCCGAGAUGAGUUCUCCCUGAGACUU